AAAUAGCUUGUUGGGCUGUUGCCCGCUCCAACGUGCUCCCAACCACACCAGUCCUCCACGGACAACCUGCCAUGUGGGCCAUCACGACUUGAGAUCCCACAUGUCAGUGACUGCAACCCCUCCCAAAGUGAACUGAACCAGACGAUCCAGCAAAGUCCAGCGAGUACUGCACUCCACAACCGCCUUCCCCUCGCCGCGCCUCCACCAGCUACGCCGUCACCGUCACGCGAGCUCACGCGCCGGGGGGCUCGGAAGCACAACCACCACGCCGACGCCACGCGGCGAGCCUGUCUCUCGUCCGGGGAUUCUAGCGCCGGGUAGUCUCAGCGGGGCCACUUGGAGCAGGCGGCAUCCCCUCGGUACUGCUGCUGGUUUGGUGAGCGCGGGGAGCCGCGGGAUGGGAGAUCUGGUGGCGCCGCCGCCGGCGGCGGCGGCUUAGCGUGAUGGUGGCCCCGGGAAGUAGCCGGGGCGGCCCGUCGCGCGUAGCGGCGCGGGGCGGCGUUGCCGCGCCCGGGAGCCCGCGAGCCUCUUCUGCGGCGACCGCGUUCGCGGCGCUCCGGCGCAGGUGGCGGUGGGCGGCGCCCUCGGGCGCGUCGGCGCUGGAGCGCGCGGCCCGCGCGUUCCUCCUGGCCUCCGCGGCGCUCGUGCUCGCCUGCGCGCUCUACCUCUACGUGUUCCGCUACGUCGGCCGGGGAGGUCGCGCUCGCGCCUUCGCCGCCGCGGGCUUCGUCGGGGACGACGCCGGCCUGGGCCUGGGCCUUGGCGGCGGGGCGUGCGACGUGUUCGACGGCGCCUGGGUGCCCGACGACACCGGCCGACACCCGCUCUACAACAGCUCCGAGUGCCCGUUCGCGGAGCGCGGGUUCGACUGCCUCGCCAACGGGCGGAACGACACUGGCUACCUCAAGUGGCGGUGGAAGCCGCGCCGGUGCGACGUGCCGCGGUUCGCGGCCCGCACCGCGCUGGAGCGGCUCCGCGGGAAGCGGGUGGUGUUCGUGGGGGACUCCAUGAGCCGCACACAGUGGGAAUCCUUCAUCUGCAUGCUCAUGGCCGGCGUGGAUGAUCCCAGGACGGUCUUCGAGGUGAACGGGAACGAGAUCACCAAGACGAUACGGCACCUGGCGGUCAGGUUCGCGUCUCACGGCCUCACCGUGGAGUUCUUCCGGUCCGUGUUCCUCGUGCAGGAGCAUCCUGCCCCACGGCAUGCCCCCAAGAGGGUCAAAUCCACAUUGAGGCUGGACAGGAUGGAUAAUUUCAGCCGGAAAUGGGUGAAUUCGGACGUACUGAUUUUCAACACUGGGCAUUGGUGGACGGCGACCAAAUUGUUUGAUAUGGGUUGCUAUUUUCAGGCUGGACGUUCUCUUAAAUUAGGUACAUCUAUCGAUGCUGGUUUCAGGAUGGCACUGGAGACCUGGGCCUCAUGGGUACAAAAAAGAGUUGAUUUAAACCGAACGCAUGUCUUCUUUCGCACAUAUGAGCCAUCUCAUUGGGGGGACACAAGCCAAAAGGUGUGUGAGGUAACAGAGCAGCCUUCAUCAGAGGCCAAAGGAAAUGAUAAGAGUGAAUUUGGGGCUAUACUUGCUGAUGUUGUAACCAACAUGAAAGUUCCUAUCACAGUACUAAAUGUAACUUUAAUGGGAGCGUUCCGAAGUGAUGCACAUGUUGGCACUUGGAGUUAUCCUCCCACUAUACUUGAUUGCAGCCAUUGGUGUCUUCCUGGAGUCCCUGAUGCUUGGAACGAACUUAUCUUUUCGUACCUUUUGACAAAUGCUCUGCUGAACCAUGGUGCCCAUGGAAUGCCACGCAUAGCAUGAAUAGUGAGAUUUCCCAUCAGAAAUAGUGAAAUUCAAUGUUACUUGAAGUGGCGUUCAAAGCUGCACUGAGAAGUUAAUUUAGGCUAUGUUAGUUGAUCCCUGACAACCUUUAGUAUAGCGGUCAUCUGGAAAGAUUAAGCAGCUACUUACUGAUGCUACCUUGGAAGGCCUCAAGGUUGGCGAAACAUGGAGGGCUGAAUUUUAUGGCCGCAUGCUCAAUCUACCCCCACUUUUUUAUUGUGAUAUUUGACAUUACCUGGUAUACUAGAGAAUUAACAAACAUCCGGGACAAGGCAGCUGCAUCUGCGGUGGUUCACUGGACUUCUGCAUUCUUUUCUUCUUUUUGACUUGUAUACACGGUGCUGCAUCGAGAGUUGUAGAUUUUACAUCACUUCUUUAAUUCUUCUGGUUGGUAAGGAUUAGAAAGCCUUGACAUUCGUUCUCUCAGCCCUAUUUACUAACGGUUCAUUUUAUAUGUCGUUAAAAAUUGAGUUUGUAUUGUAAUCUGUAUGUACAAACAUUACAGUACUUGAUACAUUGUCAGAAAGUGCGCGCUCUCAGUUGUAUUGGCAAGUUUUGAAUGUA
This is an RNA transcript of Sorghum bicolor (sorghum), 2399 nucleotides long. It is a transcript of the gene named protein trichome berefringence-like 7, with no coding region annotated. The transcript is spliced from 5 exons. The record is from RefSeq and is a predicted model, not a curated record. Lineage: Eukaryota; Viridiplantae; Streptophyta; Magnoliopsida; Poales; Poaceae.